Long non-coding RNA from Fundulus heteroclitus (mummichog), 1423 nucleotides. RefSeq lists it as uncharacterized. The record is from RefSeq and is a predicted model, not a curated record. NCBI's taxonomy places the organism in Eukaryota, Metazoa, Chordata, Actinopteri, Cyprinodontiformes, Fundulidae. The transcript has 3 exons.
GUUCACUCACACAGACUUGGACCAGUAUGCCUCAUCUGUACUGGACCAUAUCUCCACCAAUAUGGACGUUGUUACCACCCAGAAGCCUUGGAUGAUUCGAUUUGAUUCGGAAUGUUUGUCAUCUGCUGAAUGUCCAUAACUUAGCCUUCAGGUGUACAGGCCAACAGUACAGCCAGGGCUGAGCAGAAGAGGGGCAUCAAAAAGGCCAAGCACUACUACAAAAGGAAGGUAGAAGAAUACUUCUCCGAAUCCAACCCCCGACGUAUGUGGGAAGGACUCCUGAUCAUCAAAGACUACAAGACCACUAACACCUUUCCCGCCUCCUCUGAUGUCUCCUUCCUCAAGGAGCUCAACAACUUUUAUGCUCGUUUUUAGAGAGGGAACCCAACAACUCCAGCUGAGUCAGAUGUGACUUCAGACCACUGACUCUCUACCCUAGCCUGGCCAGCCAGACUCAGUUUUGCUUUUUCCUUUGCUAUGCAGCGAACUGAGUCAGUAACUGCUCCCAUAGAGUCCUCUUUCCUGAUACCAACCAAUCACAGGCGUGGGCGGGCUUUAUAUUUUGAGUGACAUGAAGCGCCCGAGGAUCCCUCAGCCAAAACAAACAAGAUGGCUGCCACUACGGAGUGUUUGUUUGCACUCCGUAGUGGCAUUAAGUUUGCAGAUAACAUUACGGUGAUCGGUCUCAUCAAAGACAGCAAUGAGGCCGCCUACAGGGAGGAGGUGGAUUGUUUGGCUGAGUGGUGUGACACUAACAACCUGCUGCUCAACACAGAAAAGACCAAGGAGGUCAUUGUGGACUUCAGGAGGAAUGCCGACCCUACCCGCCCAUCUACAUCAAAGGAACGGCGGUGGAACAUGUAAAUAGCUUCAGGUUCCUCGGAGUUCACAUCUCUGAGGAUCUCACCUUGACAACCAGCUGUUCCCAGCUGGUCAAGAAAGCUCACCAGCGGCUCUUUUUUCUGAGGACUCUGAGGAUAAACCACAUGUUAUCAGACAUCCUUGUGAACUUCUACCACUACAACAUCGAAAACAUCAUAAUCAACUGCAUCAGCGUCUGGUACGGGAGCUGCUCUGCUUCGGACAGAGGGUGGUGAAAACCCGCCCAGCCUAUCACUGGAGCAGCACAUCCUGCCAUAGUGGACAUCUACAGGAAGUAGUAUCUGAAAAGGGUCUGGAAAAUCAUCAAAGACUCCAGUCACCCAGCACGUGGACUAUUCACUCUCCUGUAAUGUUUGUACGGACAGAGGGAACGCGGAGAGUAAUGAUGCCCUGGGAUCAGAAGUUGUGACCGACGUGUUUUGAUGACAUUUUCUGGCCAGCUGCACCACAAGUCUGAAUCCAAUCUUCCCAUAUCCAAAUGGAACUUCUUCGAGCAUAAAUUGUUGAUCCUGGCCUCGUAGAGUUGUCCAUCACAUCCAGA